ACCAAUUUUGCUGUAAUUUGCAAAGUAAUAAAUAUGAAGUCAGAGACUCUAUAGUGGAAGUCCUUAUAAGACUCUAAUUUGCCACUUGCUAGUUAUCUGCCUUGAGGAAAGUUGAUUAUAUUUCUGAUCAUUUGUUUCCUCUUUGAAAAAUUGGAAUAAAAACAAAUACUGACAUAAAGUUCCAUUGUUGAUUUAGGAUGUAAAGUGCUUGACUCCACUGCAUGGAAUAUAGUCAUUAGUUAAUAAACCAUAGCUAUUAACAACUCUUUCUAUUUUUUUUUUUUUUGCCUACUUCAUUUCUAAGGUGUACUGUAGAAAAUUACAAUUCUUUCCUUAAGUAAAAAAUGAGAAUAAUUACUAAUGCCUUCCUCCCUUGACAGAUACCAAUCCUAAUUCCACAACUUGAUAUAACCUAGGCAGAAUUUUAUUAAUCUGUACAAAUGUGACAGGAAAAAAAUUAUUUCAUAUAGAAGUACUCUUAGCCUUGAACUAUGUCUACCCUGGUCAUCCCAUCUGUCAAGGAGAAUCUCGUAUUUUCCCACUAAACCCCUUCCUCCAAUCCCUGAUCUUGAUUCUCUAAAGAAGAGUGCUAUAUGAAUGGACUAUAAAAUCAUGUGAUGCAAACUUGGGAGUAUAGAAAAGACUAAAAAUGAAGAAUAAAAAUUAAAAAGUAAGGAAAGAGAAGAGAGGCAUUAUGGAUGCAACAUUAUCAAGAGAAAAAGAAAUGUUGAUGGAGAAUAAAGACUAUGAAUAAUGAGAGACCCUGGAGAAGUCUCUGUGCUGUACAGAAUAGAUAAAGAGAGAAAAAGAAAAAGAACAGCAAGGAGGAAGUUUGCCACCUAUGAUCCAGUCACCUCCCACCAGGCCCCUCUCAUGACACAGAGAGAUUACAAUUCCAGAUGAGAUUUGGGUGGGGACACAGAGCCAAAGCAUAUCCAACGUACUCCGCAUUUCUUUGACAUUUUAUUAUUUCUAAAGAGUGGAGGAGGCCAGGCGCGUGGCUCAUGCCUGUAAUCCCAGCCCUCUGAGAGGCCAUGGUGGGUGUAUCACCUGAAGUCAGGAGUUCGAGAUGAGCCUGUGAACAUGGUGAAACCCCAUCUCUACUAAAAGUACACAUUGAAAAAUCACCCAGGUGUGGUGGUGCACACCUGUAAUCCCAGCUACUCCAGAGGCUGAAGCAGGAGAACUGCCUGAACCUGGGAGGUGGAGGUUGUAAUAAGCUAAGAUCAUGUCACUGCACUCCAGCCUGGGCAACU
RNAcentral lists this long non-coding RNA (1256 nucleotides) under Callithrix jacchus (white-tufted-ear marmoset). RNAcentral's name for it is "lncRNA (ENSCJAG00000074614.1)". The record is from RNAcentral. Lineage: Eukaryota; Metazoa; Chordata; Mammalia; Primates; Cebidae.